This 253-nucleotide ribosomal RNA is filed under the name uncultured bacterium. Its description in RNAcentral is "partial 16S ribosomal RNA". It matches the Rfam family "Bacterial small subunit ribosomal RNA", at positions 524 to 776 of the family's 1533-position model. The record is from RNAcentral.
UACGUAGGUGGCAAGCGUUGUCCGGAUUUACUGGGCGUAAAGAGCGCGCAGGCGGUCGUUCAAGUCGCGUGUGAAAGCCCCCGGCUCAACUGGGGAGGGUCACGCGAUACUGAUCGACUCGAAGGCAGGAGAGGGAAGUGGAAUUCCCGGUGUAGCGGUGAAAUGCGUAGAUAUCAGGAGGAACACCGGUGGUGUAGACGGCUUUCUGGACCGUAACUGACGCUGAGACACGAAAGCGUGGGUAGCAAACAGG